Molecule: ribosomal RNA, 497 nt
Filed under: uncultured bacterium
Lineage: Bacteria
Description: partial 16S ribosomal RNA
Rfam family: Bacterial small subunit ribosomal RNA
Source: RNAcentral
GAUGAACGCUGGCGGCGUGCCUAAUACAUGCAAGUCGAGCGAACGGACGAGAAGCUUGCUUCUCUGAUGUUAGCGGCGGACGGGUGAGUAACACGUGGAUAACCUUCCUAUAAGACUGGGAUAACUUCGGGAAACCGGAGCUAAUACCGGAUAAUAUUUUGAACCGCAUGGUUCAAAAGUGAAAGACGGUCUUGCUGUUACUUUUAGAUGGUUACGCGCUGCAUUAGCUAGUUGGUAAGGUAACGGCUUACCAAGGCAACGAUGCAUAGCCGACCUGAGAGGGUGAUCGGCCACACUGGAACUGAGACACGGUCCAGACUCCUACGGGAGGCAGCAGUAGGGAAUCUUCCGCAAUGGGCGAAAGCCUGACGGAGCAACGCCGCGUGAGUGAUGAAGGUCUUCGGAUCGUAAAACUCUGUUAUUAGGGAAGAACAUAUGUGUAAGUAACUGUGCACAUCUUGACGGUACCUAAUCAGAAAGCCACGGCUAACUACGUG